UACGGGGGGGGCAAGCGUUGUUCGGAAUUACUGGGCGUAAAGGGCUCGUAGGUGGCCAACUAAGUCAUACGUGAAAUCCCUCGGCUUAACCGGGGAACUGCGUCUGAUACUGGAUGGCUUGAGUUUGGGAGAGGGACGCGGAAUUCCAGGUGUAGCGGUGAAAUGCGUAGAUAUCUGGAGGAACACCGGUGGCGAAGGCGGCAUCCUGGACCAAUAUUGACGCUGAGGAGCGAAAGCCAGGGGAGCAAACGGG
This 253-nucleotide ribosomal RNA is filed under the name uncultured bacterium. Its description in RNAcentral is "partial 16S ribosomal RNA". It matches the Rfam family "Bacterial small subunit ribosomal RNA", at positions 524 to 776 of the family's 1533-position model. The record is from RNAcentral.